CCACCUCAAAUAAAUUAUCCCGGGUUAGCUAACCCCACCUAAUCCCACCAAACUCCAACCAAACACUAGUUUCUAUUCAUAAUAACCUACUAUCUUUCUUAUCACACCUACUCCAACGAAUCAUUAUCCUUCUUUAUCAAUCAUUAUCUUCUUAUCCCACCUGCUCCAACCAAACACUAUUUUUCAUUAUUCUAGACUAACUCCAACCCCCAACCAAACACAAAAAAAUUUUAACCCCACUUUAACCCUGAACUUAACUCUAUCUCUGGAAUAGCUAUUUUUUCCUUAACCCCGAACCAAACGGAUUUAAAUUUUUUUUCUAAUCCAUCAUUGAUCAAAUCCUCUUUAUUUUUUCUGAUUUUUUAAAAGAGAAAGAUAGCAAGUUAUCUGCUUCAUUUAUUUUUUUAAAAAAUAAACUCAGCUAGAUAUAUAAAAUAAUUAGAAUCCAAAGUAGAGACUUUGAAUACCAAUCAUAAAGUCUUUAACCAACUGUACUAGAUACGAUCAAUCGUUUAACCAACUGUGCUAUAUAAUUUGUUUUGAUUCCACUCAAAGAAGGGAAUUAUACUCUUUUAGCAAAAGUAACAAGAGAGAGGGUGCGAUACAGCUAAUAUAAUGUUUUUAAAAGUUUAUGAAAAGACGUGACUCAACCAAGCUGAGCUGAAAAUUUUGUUGAAUUCGAUAACUUUUACAAUCGGCACAACAAAUCUUUAAACGGCUAUUACUUUGCGUUUGAGUAUCUGAUUUCAGUAUACAAUCUUAAUUCGAAAAAUACUUUUCAAGAUCUAUGUGUCGAAUCGAAGCCAUUCUAGUCAAGUUUGAAACCCAAA
Molecule: long non-coding RNA, 830 nt
Filed under: Ananas comosus (pineapple)
Lineage: Eukaryota; Viridiplantae; Streptophyta; Magnoliopsida; Poales; Bromeliaceae
Description: long non-coding RNA (ACOM_LNC023713)
Source: RNAcentral